This 62-nucleotide transfer RNA is filed under the name Diplorchis sp. Its description in RNAcentral is "tRNA-Trp". The record is from RNAcentral. Lineage: Eukaryota; Metazoa; Platyhelminthes; Monogenea; Polystomatidea; Polystomatidae.
AGAAUUUUAAGUUAGUUAAACUUUUUGUUUUCAAAACAAAGUACGGCUUUGGUCAGGUUCUG